This 63-nucleotide ribosomal RNA is filed under the name Monilinia azaleae. Its description in RNAcentral is "partial 28S rRNA". It matches the Rfam family "Eukaryotic large subunit ribosomal RNA", at positions 1 to 58 of the family's 3401-position model. Lineage: Eukaryota; Fungi; Ascomycota; Leotiomycetes; Helotiales; Sclerotiniaceae. The record is from RNAcentral.
ACGGUUGACCUCGGAUCAGGUAGGGAUACCCGCUGAACUUAAGCAUAUCAAUAAGCGGAGGAA